ACUCGGGCACGAUCCGCAAAAAUGCUGGAACCGACCUGAAGUUUCUAUCCUGAGGGA
This is a non-coding RNA of Corynebacterium callunae DSM 20147, 57 nucleotides long. NCBI's taxonomy places the organism in Bacteria, Bacillati, Actinomycetota, Actinomycetes, Mycobacteriales, Corynebacteriaceae. The record is from Rfam.